ACCCUAAAUCAUCUCCAUCCUUCUUAUACAAAGCUUCCAUUUUUCCCACACAAUCUCAGAUUUCUUUCCUCACUAUCUCGGUUAUGGUUCAAAACUCCAUCUCCGACACCAACAUUGUCUUUCGACAUUAAAUCCGGUAAGCAUCGGGUCUGAUUCAUCGGGCCUAACCGUAGCUGCAAGCUUGAAACGUGAAGAGGUGUCGUUAAUAAUCCUCGAGAGAGCUUACUACAUUUCUUUUCUAUAGCAAAACAUAGCCUACGAUCGCCUAAACAAAACUCCAUCUCCCUAAACAUUUUUGCCAAUUUCCCAAUCUCCCUUUUCCCGGGGAACUUCCCCGAGUACCCUAUCAAGUAGCAGGUUAUUCAAUACCUUUAGUCCUACACAACCAACUACGAUACCAACCUUAAGUUCCACGAGACGCUCCAGCCACCGACAUACGAUGAGAAUGCAGGUGGCUUGUGGUGGCUUCGGGAGAGAAAGCUUACCUCUCAAUCUCUACACUCACACAGGGAAACCAUCAAUGGUUUAGCUCUAAACAAAGCACUUCCUUGGUAAACAACACAUGAACCUGGUGAUACGUCUUUUCGUAUUUCGGUGAGUGGACUGUUCCGUUGAGCUUGGGGUUGAUAUCGAAGAUGGUUGCGUAGGACUCAAGGUAUUGAAUAAACUGAAACUUGAUAGGAUACUUGGGGAAAUUCUUAGGGAGGGGAAAGUUGGGUAAUUGGCAAUGUUUAGGGAGAUGGAGUUUGAGGCUAUCGUAGGUUCUGUUUUGCCAUAGAGAAGCAAUGCAGUUAGCUCGCUGGAGGAUUAUGAAUGGGUACUCCUUCGCGUUUUACCAUGCAGACACGGCUGGGCCCGAUGGGCCAGCUCCGAGAUUGUGGUGAUCUAUCCUCUGUAACUUUUGUUUUUUUGUCAACAUGUUUGAUAAAAUGUUUGCAUGAACAAAAAAAUGAAGGAAAAAGUCAAAAUUGACAUUACCUGGGGUAAGUUUCUAUCUACAAGUGUUUUUAAAAAUUGUGACAUUCAUAAAUGUUUACAUGACAAUUGUCCAUUCAAUAUAUGAGUUACAUUUUUUUAUGA
Camelina sativa (false flax) is the source of this 1080-nucleotide long non-coding RNA. RefSeq lists it as uncharacterized. Lineage: Eukaryota; Viridiplantae; Streptophyta; Magnoliopsida; Brassicales; Brassicaceae. The record is from RefSeq and is a predicted model, not a curated record.